RNAcentral lists this ribosomal RNA (465 nucleotides) under uncultured bacterium. Its description in RNAcentral is "partial 16S ribosomal RNA". It matches the Rfam family "Bacterial small subunit ribosomal RNA", at positions 338 to 795 of the family's 1533-position model. The record is from RNAcentral.
CCUACGGGCGGCAGCAGUAGGGAAUCUUCCACAAUGGACGAAAGUCUGAUGGAGCAACGCCGCGUGAGUGAAGAAGGGUUUCGGCUCGUAAAGCUCUGUUGGUAGUGAAGAAAGAUAGAGGUAGUAACUGGCCUUUAUUUGACGGUAAUAACUUAGAAAGUCACGGCUUACUACGUGCCAGCCGCCGCGGUAAUACGUAGGUGGCAAGUGUUGUUCUGUUUUGUUGGGCGUAAAGCGAGUGCAGGCGGUUCAAUAAGUCUGAUGUGAAAGCCGUCGGCUCAACCGGAGAAUUGCAUCAGAAACUGUUGAACUUGAGUGCAGAAGAGGAGAGUGGAACUCCAUGUGUAGCGGUGGAAUGCGUAGAUAUAUGGAAGAACACCAGUGGCGAAGGCGGCUCUCUGGUCUGCAACUGACGCUGAGGCUCGAAAGCAUGGGUAGCGAACAGGAUUAGAUACCCCUGUAGUC